AACCUAUGGUGAAGGCACCUUCUCAAUAAAUCUUUAUACCUCUCCCAUGCAUCAUAUAGAGCCUCUAGAUCCAUUUGCACAAAGGAAGAGAUAUCAUUCCUCAGCUU
Molecule: small nucleolar RNA, 107 nt
Filed under: Gossypium arboreum
Lineage: Eukaryota; Viridiplantae; Streptophyta; Magnoliopsida; Malvales; Malvaceae
Description: Plant small nucleolar RNA R71
Rfam family: Plant small nucleolar RNA R71
About the family: R71 is a member of the C/D box family of snoRNAs containing the C (UGAUGA) and D (CUGA) box motifs.
Source: Rfam by way of RNAcentral